UACGAAGGGGGGCUAGCGUUGCUCGGAAUUACUGGGCGUAAAGGGAGCGUAGGCGGACAUUUAAGUCAGAGGUGAAAAUCCCCGGAGCUUAACUUCGGAACUGCCUUUGAUACUGGGGUGUCUUGAGUGUGAGAGAGGUAUGUGGAACUCCGAGUGUAGAGGUGAAAUUCGUAGAUAUUCGGAAGAACACCAGUGGCGAAGGCGACAUACUGGCUCAUUACUGACGCUGAGGCUCGAAAGCGUGGGGGAGCAAACAGG
RNAcentral lists this ribosomal RNA (258 nucleotides) under uncultured bacterium. RNAcentral describes it as "partial 16S ribosomal RNA". It matches the Rfam family "Bacterial small subunit ribosomal RNA", at positions 524 to 776 of the family's 1533-position model. The record is from RNAcentral.